This 253-nucleotide ribosomal RNA is filed under the name uncultured bacterium. RNAcentral's name for it is "partial 16S ribosomal RNA". It matches the Rfam family "Bacterial small subunit ribosomal RNA", at positions 524 to 776 of the family's 1533-position model. The record is from RNAcentral.
UACGAGUGGUGCAAGCGUUAUUCGGAAUAAUUGGGCGUAAAGGGUGCGCAGGCGGUGUAUUAAGUCAACUGUUAAAUACCUCAGCCUAACUGAGGAACAGCAGUAGAUACUGGUACGCUAGAGAGUGGAAGAGAGAAGUGGAAUUCUUGGAGUAGCGGUAAAAUGCGUAGAUCUCAAGAGGAACACCAAUGGCGAAGGCAGCUUCUUGGUCCAUUUCUGACGCUCAGGCACGAAAGCGUGGGGAGCAAACAGG